GUGAUUGUCAAUUAUUUAUUUUAUAUAAUUAGGAGUGAUGUGACUAGACUAUUGCUGAGCUAUUUGCCGAUCCUGAUGAUGUGGCAAGAGGGAUUUUUAGUGCUGAUGAUGUGGCAGGAUGAGUUUGUGGCUGUGCUAUGACGGAGCUAUUGUUGGGCGAAGCUACUGUGAAUGCUCUUAGCGGAUAAAAACAAGAUUUUGAAUAUUUACCAUUUAACUUUGAAUUCUCUCCGCACUCUAUUUUCUUUCCUGCCGCCGCCGCCGCCGCCAUGCGAUCUGCGGCGGAGAAGCUCCGCUUCUUCCACCGAAGCUCAUCCCUCAAUCUCUUAUCUUCAUUCUCUGCAUCCAGACAAUUGAAGACGUCUACAAUAACGACCAACGCCCUAACCGAGGAAGAAGUUAACCAAAUCAACGCCGUAAUCCGCCGCUUAUGCGACUCAAACCACCUGAAAGAAGCUACCGAUCUCAUCUCCGCGGCCCUCUCCACCGCCAGACCUCCUCUCGCCUCACUCCCUGUCUCCUCUCUCAUCAGCCGCCUCGCUUCCCAACCCGAUCUUACCCACCCAAUGCACCUGCUCAACACCCUCAAAUUCAACCCUAACGCAUCGGAUCCGUCGGUUCUAAUCCCCGUCGUGAAAAUGAUCCUCGCCUCACUCUUCGAGAACGGUCGGCCGAAGAUGGCCGUCAAGAUUUUCCAGUGGGUGGCGCGGCCCGAUUUUCCCGGAGGUGUGGCGGUGGACCUGGAACUCUACGCUGGUUUGGUUGAUGGAUUUUGCAGGAAUGGAAUGAUGUUAGACAGUCUCCGUGUUUUGAGAGUGAUGGCAUGUGAAAAAUUGGUAAUUGGGGAUGGAAUUAGGGUUUGUAUUUACAGGGGUUUGUUGAGGGAGGCGAGGGUUAGGGAAGCUUUGGAGCUGAAUGCUGUAUUGGGGAGUUGUACUUCAGGGAGUGAUGGGGAUACUUGUGUUUCAGAGAAGGUUGUGCAUUUACUGGAGCGGAUUAUUUCAAAUUGGGUGGACUAGAAUUUAUGAUGCUGUGCAAGAGUUUAAGGUUGGCGACAGUUGGUUGGAGGAGUACAUCUCGCUUCACUACUUCCCGCUUCCAAAUUAGUUGUGCUGCAAAGAAAGAAACAGUAGACAAAGUGUGUGAAAUAGUGAGGAAGCAGCUUGCACUGCCUGCUGACAAGGAAAUCACCCCUCAGACUACUUUCACAGAUCUUUGAGCUGACUCCCUUGACACUGUGGAAAUAGUAAUGGGGCUGGAAGAAGAGUUUGACAUUACAGUCCAAGAGGAUAACCAAGACAACAUAUCAUGCAUCCGAGAAGCUGCUGAUCUCAUUGAACAGCUUGUUGCCAACAAAUCUUGAUACCUUCUUUUUUAUACUAGUACUAGUAUGUCAAACUUAGAAUUAUGAUGAUUAUUUGAUGUGGAAUUUUUUUUUUCUUUUGAGAUACUCCCUCCGUCCCAUAAAAGAUGACUCACUUUCCUUUUUA
Molecule: RNA transcript, 1490 nt
Organism: Salvia splendens (bonfire salvia)
Lineage: Eukaryota; Viridiplantae; Streptophyta; Magnoliopsida; Lamiales; Lamiaceae
Exons: 4
Source: RefSeq, a predicted model, not a curated record